CUAGGUAUAGGUUAAUUUGGUAGACCGCCACAUUUGGGAUGUGGAGACUGGGGGUUCGAGUCCCUCUACUUAGA
This 74-nucleotide transfer RNA is filed under the name Caudoviricetes sp. RNAcentral describes it as "tRNA-Pro". It matches the Rfam family "tRNA". From Rfam's summary of the family: Transfer RNA (tRNA) molecules are approximately 80 nucleotides in length. Their secondary structure includes four short double-helical elements and three loops (D, anti-codon, and T loops). Further hydrogen bonds mediate the characteristic L-shaped molecular structure. tRNAs have two regions of fundamental functional importance: the anti-codon, which is responsible for specific mRNA codon recognition, and the 3' end, to which the tRNAs corresponding amino acid is attached (by aminoacyl-tRNA synthetases). tRNAs cope with the degeneracy of the genetic code in two manners: having more than one tRNA (with a specific anti-codon) for a particular amino acid; and 'wobble' base-pairing, i.e. permitting non-standard base-pairing at the 3rd anti-codon position. The record is from RNAcentral. Lineage: Duplodnaviria; Heunggongvirae; Uroviricota; Caudoviricetes.